Molecule: ribosomal RNA, 253 nt
Filed under: uncultured bacterium
Lineage: Bacteria
Description: partial 16S ribosomal RNA
Rfam family: Bacterial small subunit ribosomal RNA
Source: RNAcentral
UACGUAGGGACCGAGCGUUGUCCGGAUUCAUUGGGCGUAAAGAGCUCGUAGGCGGCCACUCAAGUCGAAUGUGAAACCUCGAGGCUUAACCUCGAGCCUGCAUUCGAUACUGGGCGGCUAGAGUCUGGUAGGGGGAUCUGGAAUUCCUGGUGUAGCGGUGGAAUGCGCAGACAUCAGGAGGAACACCGGUGGCGAAGGCGGGAUCCUGGGCCAGUACUGACGCUGAGGAGCGAAAGCGUGGGGAGCAAACAGG